Long non-coding RNA from Dicentrarchus labrax (European seabass), 1039 nucleotides. RefSeq lists it as uncharacterized. The record is from RefSeq and is a predicted model, not a curated record. Lineage: Eukaryota; Metazoa; Chordata; Actinopteri; Moronidae. The transcript is spliced from 3 exons.
CACUUCCAAACAUACACAUUCAGAGACUGAUCAAUACUUUAUGAUUCUGAUGUUUUUUGUUUCUUUUUACACGUUUUGAUGAUGAAUCUGGAUCUAAAGACAGGGAUCGCAUUUGGAUUUUGAUCAUUGUAUUCUCCGUGGUCGGGGUCUGUGGUCCAAUUACUGCAUUAAUCUAUUUCCGUAAAACAAAAUCUGAAUCUCAGUCUAUGAAAGCUGAUAAAUGUUGUUCAGCUUUAACUGCAUCAGCACCCUCCAAUCUGUCACACGGCGACACUGAGAUGAACGAGACGACAACCAACGACACUCAGAAGGCCGAAACAUCUUCGGUCACACAGGAGAGCGAUGGGGUCAGACAACGGCCGUCGCCUGUGAAGACUGAACCAAGUGAUAACCUGAAUCCAUCACCUUCAACAUCAGUACAACUGUAGAAUGAAUCUGACUGACACAGUUUCAUUGUCAUUGUGUGAAUCUAUGCGUUACAUUAAUGCACAUCCCUUCGAUUUAUCCUGCUAAUAUCAUUAUCUGUUGCACUAACUGUUCAGCUCUUCAUUUAUUUAAUUGCACAUGUCUCUUUUUAUAUUUGUAUAUAUUGUCUCUUUUUAUCGUCUCCAUUUUAUCUUUAUUCAUAUUUUUCUAUGUUUCAUUGUUAUGCACCAAUUUACAAAAACAAAUUCCUUGUAUGUGAAAACUUACUUGACAAUAAGCCUGAUUGUGAUUCUGAUCAGAGCUCUGAACGCAAAAUAUGUCGUCACUGUGAAAGAAAUAAAAGGUUACACUUUAAAUUCUAUAGAGUUUAAGUAAGAGAGGAAAUAUGAUAUUUAAGUUUUAUUAAAUGUCUUGUAUUAGAGGAGGUUUAUAAACAUUCAAACGCCUAUAACUGUACAUUUGUAAUAUACAUGAUGACUGUAUAUAAUUAAUGAUUUUUUAAAAUACUUUUGCAUUUUCCUUAUUUUGCCAAUACUUGACAGAAGUUGUAAGAGGAAAAGAUCAUAAGAUUCACAUUAUCACUAAUAAUAAAAUACAAUUCACAUGUAAUGUC